Molecule: unclassified non-coding RNA, 346 nt
Filed under: soil metagenome
Description: partial contains 5.8S ribosomal RNA, internal transcribed spacer 2, and large subunit ribosomal RNA
Rfam family: 5.8S ribosomal RNA (bases 1-119)
Source: RNAcentral
GAUGAAGAACGCAGCGAAAUGCGAUACGUAAUGUGAAUUGCAAAUUCAGUGAAUCAUCGAGUCUUUGAACGCACAUUGCGCCCCCUGGUAUUCCGGGGGGCAUGCCUGUCCGAGCGUCAUUGCUGCCCUCAAGCACGGCUUGUGUGUUGGGCCCCGUCCUCCGAUCCCGGGGGACGGGCCCGAAAGGCAGCGGCGGCACCGCGUCCGGUCCUCGAGCGUAUGGGGCUUUGUCACCCGCUCUGUAGGCCCGGCCGGCGCUUGCCGAUCAACCCAAAUUUUUAUCCAGGUUGACCUCGGAUCAGGUAGGGAUACCCGCUGAACUUAAGCAUAUCAAUAAGCGGAGGAA